CAAUUUGGGAAAAGGAAUGAUCGCCCAGAUUCACUUGGAACUAGGAUUCUUCAACCAGACAACACCAAUCUUCUGAGUUCUAGAGAGACCAGAAUGACUGCUUAAGGAGCUGAAGAUCUGAGGGGGACCCGACUCAACUCCACUGUGUGACGGUGCAAAUCUCGACCACCAGCGAAGACGCCAGAGUGUAGCACAAGCGCAGAAUUACCUGCUUCAGUCAGCCUCGGCAGUUGUCACCGUUGCUGCUGCUGCGUCCUCCUCCUUCUCUUCUUCCUCUUCCUCCUCCCUCCCCUUCCCCAUCUACCCCACCCCCAUCCCUUCUCCACUCCUUGCAAACUCUGGAGCCGGAAAACCGAUUCCUCUCAGUCUUGCAUUCAGGGAGAUGAACAUGCCAGAGGAAACCUGCUCUAUUUAGGAAGAAUCCGAGGACUCUCCAUCAGGAGAAGUCAAGGAAUAAUGAACUGGAAGAAUUCCAUGGGAACUGGAAAGACCUCCAGGAAUUGA
RNAcentral lists this long non-coding RNA (504 nucleotides) under Monodelphis domestica (gray short-tailed opossum). RNAcentral's name for it is "lncRNA (ENSMODG00000043505.1)". The record is from RNAcentral. Lineage: Eukaryota; Metazoa; Chordata; Mammalia; Didelphimorphia; Didelphidae.